This 384-nucleotide ribosomal RNA is filed under the name uncultured bacterium. Its description in RNAcentral is "bacterial SSU rRNA". It matches the Rfam family "Bacterial small subunit ribosomal RNA", at positions 29 to 412 of the family's 1533-position model. The record is from RNAcentral.
AAUGAACGCUGGCGGCGUGCCUUACACAUGCAAGUCGAGCGAGGCGGUUUGGGGGUAACUCCGGACCAGUCGAGCGGCGAACGGGUGAGUAACGCGUGGGUGACCUACCUCAAGGGUGGGGGAUAACCCGGGGAAACUCGGGCUAAUACCGCAUAACAUCUAUGGAUCAAAGGGGGCCNCAAGGCUCCCGCCAUGAGAGGGGCCCGCGUACGAUUAGCUAGUUGGUAGGGUAAUGGCCUACCAAGGCGACGAUCGUUAGCCGGCCUGAGAGGGUGAUCGGCCACACUGGAACUGAGACACGGUCCAGACUCCUACGGGAGGCAGCAGUGGGGAAUUUUGCGCAAUGGGCGAAAGCCUGACGCAGCAACGCCGCGUGGAGAUGAA